CCCCCCGUAGUUCGCAAACCUCCUACAAUAAAAAACUAGGUAAAA
RNAcentral lists this non-coding RNA (45 nucleotides) under Haemophilus influenzae. RNAcentral's name for it is "PreQ1-I sequence". It matches the Rfam family "PreQ1 (pre queuosine) riboswitch aptamer". Rfam says of the family: This family is a bacterial riboswitch that binds to the metabolite preQ1, an intermediate in the biosynthesis of the modified nucleoside queuosine from GTP. One example of this riboswitch is located in the leader of the Bacillus subtilis ykvJKLM (queCDEF) operon which encodes four genes necessary for queuosine production. Lineage: Bacteria; Pseudomonadati; Pseudomonadota; Gammaproteobacteria; Pasteurellales; Pasteurellaceae. The record is from RNAcentral. RNAcentral also lists the same sequence under 1 other name.